CACUAGCCCGGAUAGCAGCGGCAUCCUUUUCUUGCUUUCUUUAGGCAAGAAAAGAUACAGCGAAGAGCGGGAAAUAGC
Molecule: small RNA, 78 nt
Filed under: Flavobacterium fryxellicola
Lineage: Bacteria; Pseudomonadati; Bacteroidota; Flavobacteriia; Flavobacteriales; Flavobacteriaceae
Description: Flavo-1 RNA
Rfam family: Flavo-1 RNA
Source: RNAcentral